RNAcentral lists this ribosomal RNA (486 nucleotides) under uncultured bacterium. RNAcentral's name for it is "partial 16S ribosomal RNA". It matches the Rfam family "Bacterial small subunit ribosomal RNA", at positions 30 to 507 of the family's 1533-position model. The record is from RNAcentral.
AUUGAACGCUGGCGGCAUGCCUUACACAUGCAAGUCGAACGGCAGCACGGGUGCUUGCACCUGGUGGCGAGUGGCGAACGGGUGAGUAAUACAUCGGAACAUGUCCUGUAGUGGGGGAUAGCCCGGCGAAAGCCGGAUUAAUACCGCAUACGAUCUACGGAUGAAAGCGGGGGACCUUCGGGCCUCGCGCUAUAGGGUUGGCCGAUGGCUGAUUAGCUAGUUGGUGGGGUAAAGGCCUACCAAGGCGACGAUCAGUAGCUGGUCUGAGAGGACGACCAGCCACACUGGGACUGAGACACGGCCCAGACUCCUACGGGAGGCAGCAGUGGGGAAUUUUGGACAAUGGGCGAAAGCCUGAUCCAGCAAUGCCGCGUGUGUGAAGAAGGCCUUCGGGUGGUAAAGCACUUUUGUCCGGAAAGAAAUACUUGGCUCUAAUACAGUCGGGGGAUGACGGUACCGGAAGAAUAAGCACCGGCUAACUACGUG